UACGGGGGGGGCAAGCGUUGUUCGGAAUUACUGGGCGUAAAGGGCUCGUAGGCGGCCAACUAAGUCAGACGUGAAAUCCCUCGGCUUAACCGGGGAACUGCGUCUGAUACUGGAUGGCUUGAGUUUGGGAGAGGGAUGCGGAAUUCCAGGUGUAGCGGUGAAAUGCGUAGAUAUCUGGAGGAACACCGGUGGCGAAGGCGGCGACCUGGGUCGAUACUGACGCUGAGGUGCGAAAGCGUGGGGAGCAAACAGG
RNAcentral lists this ribosomal RNA (253 nucleotides) under uncultured bacterium. Its description in RNAcentral is "partial 16S ribosomal RNA". It matches the Rfam family "Bacterial small subunit ribosomal RNA", at positions 524 to 776 of the family's 1533-position model. The record is from RNAcentral.